RNAcentral lists this transfer RNA (59 nucleotides) under Plecturocebus cupreus (coppery titi). RNAcentral's name for it is "tRNA-Ser". Lineage: Eukaryota; Metazoa; Chordata; Mammalia; Primates; Pitheciidae. RNAcentral also lists the same sequence under 2 other names. The record is from RNAcentral.
GAGAAAGUAUGCAAGAACUGCUAACUCAUGCUCCCAUGCUUAAUAGCCUGGCUUUCUCA